GGGGGAUAUUGCACAAUGGAGGAAACUCUGAUGCAGCAACGCCGCGUGAGGGAAGAAGGUCUUCGGAUUGUAAACCUUUGUCCUUGGUGACGAAACAAAUGACGGUAGCCAAGGAGGAAGCUCCGGCUAACUACGUGCCAGCAGCCGCGGUAAUACGUAGGGAGCAAGCGUUGUCCGGAUUUACUGGGUGUAAAGGGUGCGUAGGCGGCUCUGCAAGUCAGGUGUGAAAACCAUCGGCUUAACUGAUGGACUGCAUUUGAAACUGUGGGGCUUGAGUGAAGUAGAGGUAGGCGGAAUUCCCGGUGUAGCGGUGAAAUGCGUAGAGAUCGGGAGGAACACCAGUGGCGAAGGCGGCCUACUGGGCUUUAACUGACGCUGAAGCACGAAAGCAUGGGUAGCAAAC
This 403-nucleotide ribosomal RNA is filed under the name uncultured bacterium. Its description in RNAcentral is "bacterial SSU rRNA". It matches the Rfam family "Bacterial small subunit ribosomal RNA", at positions 356 to 773 of the family's 1533-position model. The record is from RNAcentral.